CAGCACAGUCACCCUCUGCCAUCCCUCAUGUGGUCCAUGCUCCAGCCCUAACCACUGCAAGGACCUUCUCUGGUCACCAGAAUCAUGCCUUGUAAAGGAAGUGAGAGGUGGAGGAAUGAAAACAGCUCAUGAAAAAUCCCAGUGAGGACUUGCACAAGGCUUUCAACACCAUUAUAUCCAAUGUCAGAAGGGUUGUGGCCUUUGUUUGCAGACCACAGGUACAAUUGUUUCCUGCUUUUUCUGGCCCAGUAUCUGGUGAGAUAAAGUUAUACAUUACCCAGAC
Passer domesticus (house sparrow) is the source of this 283-nucleotide long non-coding RNA. RefSeq lists it as uncharacterized. The record is from RefSeq and is a predicted model, not a curated record. The transcript is spliced from 3 exons. NCBI's taxonomy places the organism in Eukaryota, Metazoa, Chordata, Aves, Passeriformes, Passeridae.